AGCGCAGGUGGUUUAUUAAGUCUGGUGUAAAAGGCAGUGGCUCAACCAUUGUAUGCAUUGGAAACUGGUAGACUUGAGUGCAGGAGAGGAGAGUGGAAUUCCAUGUGUAGCGGUGAAAUGCGUAGAUAUAUGGAGGAACAUCGGUGGCGAAAGCGGCUCUCUGGCCUGUAACUGACACUGAGGCUCGAAAGGCGUGGGAGCAAACA
Molecule: ribosomal RNA, 206 nt
Filed under: uncultured bacterium
Lineage: Bacteria
Description: partial 16S ribosomal RNA
Rfam family: Bacterial small subunit ribosomal RNA
Source: RNAcentral